UCAUCUCAUUUAUUUUCUUACCAACCAAACUUUAUCAUUACUAUCUCGUUGUUGUGCUUCCUCUAAGUCUAUCCAUAUUAUAUAUGCUCAGUCAGUUGAUACCUUGAUUUUCUUCUUCUUAAUUUCAUCAUUGAUAUCUUGGAUUGCUUCCUCUAAGUCUUUCUUUGCCAGAUCUUUCAAGUUCUACUCACUUUCAAGUAAUUUUUCUUUUAAGUCUUAAUAAACACAUUUUUUACUCUUAAUUUACGUUGUUACUCAAAUUUCAUAUUUCACAUUUUUUUUUUAUUUCCUUGGCAGAUCUCAGUUUGGUGGUUUUUUUUACAAAGAUCUUAGUUUGUUUGUUCUCACACUUUCAGGUAAUCUCUUCCUUUGUUAACAACACUUAAUCUUUCAAAUUAUGUUACAUGAUCCGUUAUAGUUAUAGGCCCCG
This 430-nucleotide long non-coding RNA is filed under the name Medicago truncatula (barrel medic). RNAcentral's name for it is "long non-coding RNA (MTRU_LNC006751)". The record is from RNAcentral. Lineage: Eukaryota; Viridiplantae; Streptophyta; Magnoliopsida; Fabales; Fabaceae.